UCCCUGGAAGACUAGUGAUUAGGCCUCGAUGCCCUCACCGCCGUGGCCCAGGUUCGAUUCCCGUCCAGGGAA
This is a non-coding RNA of Pangasianodon gigas (Mekong giant catfish), 72 nucleotides long. NCBI's taxonomy places the organism in Eukaryota, Metazoa, Chordata, Actinopteri, Siluriformes, Pangasiidae. The record is from the annotation of a GenBank genome assembly.